This 4559-nucleotide long non-coding RNA is filed under the name Homo sapiens (human). RNAcentral's name for it is "HSALNT0326257". The record is from RNAcentral. Lineage: Eukaryota; Metazoa; Chordata; Mammalia; Primates; Hominidae.
GAUGCCCUGCAAUGCCUCAGGACUCUCCAGAAUGUUUUCACCAGCAAAAAGGCCCUCAGCAGAUGCAGCCUCUCGACCUUGAACUUUCUAGCCUCCAAAAUGGACUAUCGGUACUGAAACCCAGCAAGCUGAAAUCAGCAAAACAAGAUGGUCUUGCUAACUUGAGGAAGCUGUAGCAGCUGGAAGCUCCAGAGAGGAGGGGGCUCAGAGUCUGCACAUCAAUGGGGAGACAUCAUUCUGGCUGCAUUAUGAAUGGAUGGUUUGGAGGAAGAAUGUGGAUAGCUAAACAAGAAGGAGAAUAGAAAGAAACUACUCUUAAGACUAUUGCAAUAUCCAGUGUUAUCUCAGGACCAAGGAAUUAAUGGUGCAAUGUGCUUUGUUUCUGACUGCAGACUAUAAUGUUUAUUCCUAUUGGGGGCAGAGCAAGAUUUCAGUUUCUUUUCUCAGCAACAAGAAAAUACUCUGUCUGAAAUCAAGCAACUUCUGGGAAGACCAAGAGUGAUGGAAACUAGAGUUACAAAGCAAAAACCCUACAUCCUGAAUGCCCAGCCCGGUCAAUGAAAUUUUUCUGUCUCAUUUAUCAGCUAACUUGGUCCUCUUCCCCUGGGAACAAAACUGAGAAGGGUUAAGAGAUAAUGUGGAAACAAACUCCCCAGCACUUGCCUAAGAGGGCAGCUGUGUACCCAGACCUUCUUUCCUCUAUGUCAUUGUACUAGAAAGAGAGAGUUCCAUACUCUUUAAUCUGAAUAGUUGGCACUCACUUAAAAAAGAAUGCAGCCUGAUUCCUCUCUGCCCCUCUAGCUAUUUCCAGAAAGUUGUUCAUGGGAUGAAUUGGUAAGUAAAGAAUUCAGACACUGGUUCUGAUUAAGGGAUCUUAUAAAUGAUUUAUAACCUUUGGGAACAUCAAAGACAGCACUCAUAAGCCAGGCAAGCUAAGGGGUGCUCAGGAGUAAAAUGCACCUCCCCAUCUCACAAAUCCAUUGUUUUGAUGAAAGGAUAAGAGGCAGUUGGCCUGGGAAGGUGAAAAGGCAGGAAAAGAGUGGGAAGUCAGCUCCUAGGAUAAUAACCACAUCCACAGGCAUUGUCUCCUUUCACAUAUUUACAGCUUUUCUUUCUUAUCUUUCCACACCUCUAUAUUCAGUUAUGUAUGACCUACUAGCAAUUUACAGCUGCUUUAAAUGCAUACAUUUCAGGUAGGGUGUGUUGACUUAUGCCUGUAAUCCCAGCGCUUCGGGAGGCUGAGGUGGGUGGAUCACUUGAGGUCAGGAGUUCAAGAUCAGCCUGGCCAACAUGGCAAAACCCCAUCUCUACUAAAAAUACAAAAAUUAGCCAGUCUUGGUGGUGCACAGCUGUAAUCCCAGCUACUCGGGGGGCUGAGGCAGGAGAAUGGCUUGAACCCAGGAGGCAGAGGUUGCAGUGAGGUGAGAUCACACCACUGUACUCCAGUCUGGGCAACAGAAAGAGACUCCAUCUCAAACAAACAAACAAACAAAUAAAUAAAUAAAUGCAUACAUUGUAUCAGAAAUUAUCUCCCAUAUUGAUGAGUCUUCCAUGGGCAUCUAAUUUAAAUAUUUUUUUCUGAAAAGCAAAAGGUGCUCUAUUAUGUUGCUGGUGAGAGUGCAAAAUGGUAUAGCCUCUAAAGAGAUUAAUGUAACAAUAACUGUUAGAACCAUAUAUGCAAUCACCCUUUGACCUAGCAACCUCACUUCUAGGAAUUCAUCUUGAAGACAUAUCUCUCUAUAUGUAGGCAAAAUGGAAGCUAUUCAAUGUUACAUUGUUAGUAAUAGCAAGUUACUGUCUAUUUUUGUAUCUUUCAAAUACAUGUCUAUUUAUGUGAAAGGAUAAACUGUGGUUUAUCCACAAAAUGAAUUUUUAUGAAGUUGUAAAAAAGAAUGAGUGACAUGUCCAUGAACUGUCAUGGAGUGAUUUCCAGAACGUAUUUUUAACUGAAAAAAAAAAAAAAUCAAAGUGCAGAAGGGUGUAUAUGCUAUGCUACAUGUGCAUAAGAAAGAAGGAGGAAUGAGAAUAGAUAUCACAAAUUUGCUUACUUUUGUGAAAACAAAAAACAAAUACGAAAGUAGAAAGGACAUAUAGAAACUAAUGAAAAUGGUUAUCCAUUGGGUAGAAAUGGGAAUGGGUGAAAAGCUAAAAUGUUUCACAUAUUAUUUGUAAUUUGAGUUAUGCAAAUGCUGUACAUAUUGAAACAAUAAAACUGAAUUAUUAAAAAUAAAACUAAGGUUAGAAAAGCAAACUCUAAAAUUGAAUAUGAAGAUAAAAAAUGAAUCUGACUUCAUAUUAAAUUGAAUAUAAAUUCAUAUUAAAUUGAAUAUUAAAUUGAAUAUUAAAUUCAUUAAAUUGAAUAUUAAACUGAAUAUUAAAUUCAUUAAAUUGAAUAUUCAUAUUAAAUUGAAUAUUAAAUAUAGCUAUGCAAGGAGAGGAAUUAAUUCACAUACUUUUGAAAACAUUUGUUUUAUCUUAAUAGGGUCCAUUAUAAAAGAAAAAAGAACUGUAAAGAAAUAUUAAGCUGUACAUAACAGUUUAUUGCAGGCUGUAAUAUUGUUUUAAUUCUGAAACUGUUUGAUUUAUAGUAUGUGAAAUAAGUAUAUUACUAAGAGGAACCAAGGGUUUCACUGUGAGAGAUAAAGAAAUAUAAAUAUAACAUUUGAAUAGCUAAAGAAGAAACCAUGUAAUAUCAAAUUUGAAUUAAAAAUAUCAGUGUGAGUUCUUUUUAAUGUCCUUUGUUGUUGUGCAUUGAGUACAAAACUUCUGUAAAUUAAUCUUGCCAGAAAUGUUUAACCUGAACCUAAGCAUGAGAAACCAGUUAGACACAUCCAACUUGUUGGAUAUUAUACAAGACAAGUGGUCUGUUCACUUCUAAAAAAAAGUCAAUAUCAUAAAAAGCAAAACUAAAAACCAAGGAGACUACUAUAAAUUAAAGGAAAUUAAAGAAAAAUAUACAAAAAUUUACUCAAAUGCAUCAUAGAACUAAACAUAAAACUUAAAAUUAUAAGACUUUUAUAAAAAUACAGGAGAAAUUAUUUGUAACCUUUGGCUAGGAUUUCUUAGAUAUGACAUUGAAAGCAUAACCUUUAAAAGAAAAUGUUUGUAAAUUCUACUUUAUUGAAAUUAAAAAUUUCUACUAUUCAAAAGACAAUAUUACAAAAAUGAAAAUGAAAACACGAGCCAUAGAAGGGAGGAAAUAUUUACAAAACACAUAUUUGAUAAGACUUGUGUCUAUAAUAAGACGUCAAUAAUAAGAAAACAAUUUUUUUUUUUUUUGGAAGAGGUCUCUCACUUUGUGGCCCAGGCUGGAGUGCACUGGCGUUAUCAUGGCUCACUGCUGUCUUGACCUCCUCGGCUCAAGCAAUCCUCCCACUUCAGCCUCCCAAGUAGUUGGGACUACAUCACCAUGCCUGGCUAAUUUUGUUGUUGUUGUCGUUGUUUUUGUAGAGAUGGAGUUUUACCAUAUUGCCCAGGCUAGUCUUAAACUCCUGGACUCAAGUGAUCUGCCUGCCUCGGCCUCCCAAAAUGCUGGGAUUACAGGCAUGAGCAACCACACCUGGCCAACAGUAUUUUUAAGUGAGGAAAAAAUAGAAGAUUCCUAUUGUCAAACAUUUGGAAAUCACAGACAUAAUUCACCCAUAAUACAGUUAAUUACUUUUAAAUAAAAAUGUAAAGGGCGAGUCUUCCAGAUUUUCAAUGAAUACAUAUAUUAUUUAUAUUUUAAUUUAUAUUAUCUUACAAUUUGCUUUCUAUUUAUUCAACAGUAAUAUACAAUAUUGAACAUUUUUCUAUAUCCUUUGAUAUCUGCAAGCCUGAUUUUCAGUAGCUGGAAAUGGAAAGGCCAAAUUUAUUAUCUAAUUUUAUACAUUAGGACAUGUGUAUAAUGUCCAAUUUUAUACUGUUAUAAGUCACACUAUGAUGAACAUUUUUGUACAUAACUAACCAUAUUUCAGUUCAUUUCUUUAGGUUAUUAUAUAUCCACAGAUAUGACAUUCAAUUCUAUAAAAAUUAUGUACAUUUUAAUUUAUUUUAUUUUUGUACAUGGGAAGCUCCUAUCUUAACUCAUUAAAUUCAAUAAAUUUUGUAUUUCUACAACAGAAAGCCAACAAAGGGAGUUGUUAGUACAUAUUUCCAGGAAUGAAGUUGUCUGGAUGCAGCUAAUGCCUCCAUAGAACUGACAGUGCUGAAUUUACGAAAUGGAAAGAGUUCUGGAAAAGCAAGAAAAAAAGUCUUGUUUGAAACCCCACGUCUACUGUAGGCACAGAAGGGAAUGGAGGCAUCUGAGCAUUUUAUUUUCCAUCUCUACAGCACCUCAGAACACCUACAUUUUAUUUUUUUUCUUCUCAGAAAUGUCUUAAUAAGAGGACUGCAGUGUACUCAAGUUUCCCAAUGACAGGGUAGGGAUGCCAACCUUCUCUUUCAUUGGCAGCUCAUAGUAUCCAAGUUUCUCAAAACCCUAAGCCAUCUUAUUUGUUCUUUGGAACUUUGUGGCCUACCACAGUGCAAUUCUCAUUCGGUGUUUAAUAAAAUAUUUGUUAGCUCUUUUCUAAUUGAGA